AAGUCGUAACAAGGUUUCCGUAGGUGAACCUGCGGAAGGAUCAUUAACACGUUCCAAAACGUAUCAACCAAACGGUUAAGUGCAAACUUAUUCCCUCAUACAGGGAGCUGUUCAUCUGAAUCUAGUGAUGGGUAAGUCUUCGGGCUUACAGAAGCAGAUGAGCUAGGGUCUCGAGCCCAAAGUUCCUUAUGUGAGGCUUUCCUUUUUUUUCCCAUCACUUCCAACUAACUAAUUUCACCCCUUUAAACCAUUUGACUAAAUCUUUCGAACGAAGAAAUUUGUUUGGAAUUGUAUAUCUAACACUGUACAACUCUUAGCAAUGGAUAUCUUGGUUCUC
Molecule: unclassified non-coding RNA, 337 nt
Filed under: fungal sp.
Lineage: Eukaryota; Fungi
Description: partial internal transcribed spacer region
Rfam family: Eukaryotic small subunit ribosomal RNA (bases 1-46)
Source: RNAcentral